CUGAGAAAUGAGAAUUGCCUAUUGAGAAAUGAGAACGCUCUCUCUCGCUCUCUCUGGCGCCAAGUGAAGAAAAAAUUGCAGAACUCGAGAAUUCUAUCUUCACGUCCACGAGUCCAUCCGCACAUCCCACACCUUCGCUCCGGCUCCACCAUUAACAGGUAUAGACCUUGGGGGUGUUCACUCUUGAAGAAUAGGUCCACGUUGUUCAUACGAAGUCUUGUCGGGCCAGCAUGCAGUGUUCCGCUCACAAGUUAAUAAAAUUAGAAGUUUUGAAUUUGGGAAUGUUAAUGAUAUACUAAUAUAGAGGAUAUUCUGCGAAUAAGAGUAAUAGUUUUGUCUUGCUA
Sesamum indicum (sesame) is the source of this 344-nucleotide long non-coding RNA. RefSeq lists it as uncharacterized. The record is from RefSeq and is a predicted model, not a curated record. NCBI's taxonomy places the organism in Eukaryota, Viridiplantae, Streptophyta, Magnoliopsida, Lamiales, Pedaliaceae.